RNAcentral lists this ribosomal RNA (369 nucleotides) under uncultured organism. Its description in RNAcentral is "partial 16S ribosomal RNA". It matches the Rfam family "Bacterial small subunit ribosomal RNA", at positions 527 to 896 of the family's 1533-position model. The record is from RNAcentral.
AGAGGGUGCAAGCGUUAAUCGGAAUUACUGGGCGUAAAGGGCGUGUAGGUGGUUAGAUAAGUUGGCUGUGAAAGCCCCGGGCUCAACCUGGGAGGGUCAGCCAAAACUAUUUGACUAGAGUACGGUAGAGGGUAGUGGAAUUUCCGGUGUAGCGGUGAAAUGCGUAGAUAUCGGAAGGAACACCAGUGGCGAAGGCGACUACCUGGACUGGUACUGACACUGAGGCGCGAAAGCGUGGGGAGCGAACAGGAUCAGAUACCCUGGUAGUCCACGCCGUAAACGAUGAGAACUAGCCCGUUGGGGACGUAAGUCUUAGUGGCGCAGCUAACGCGAUAAGUUCUCCGCCUGGGGAGUACGGCCGCAAGGCUA